This 449-nucleotide ribosomal RNA is filed under the name uncultured bacterium. RNAcentral's name for it is "bacterial SSU rRNA". It matches the Rfam family "Bacterial small subunit ribosomal RNA", at positions 329 to 793 of the family's 1533-position model. The record is from RNAcentral.
UCCCAGACUCCUACGGGAGGCAGCAGUCGGGAAUAUUGCACAAUGGAGGAAACUCUGAUGCAGUGACACCGCGUAUAGGAAGAAGGUUUUCGGAUUGUAAACUAUUUUAGACAGGGAAGAAAAAAGACAGUACCUGUAGAAUAAGCACCGGCUAACUCCGUGCCAGCAGCCGCGGUAAUACGGAGGGUGCAAGCGUUACUCGGAAUCACUGGGCGUAAAGAGCGCGUAGGCGGGAUAGCAAGUCAGAUGUGAAAUCCUAUGGCUUAACCAUAGAACUGCAUUUGAAACUGUUAUUCUAGAGUAUGGGAGAGGUAGGUGGAAUUCUUGGUGUAGGGGUAAAAUCCGUAGAGAUCAAGAGGAAUACUCAUUGCGAAGGCGACCUGCUAGAACAUAACUGACGCUGAUGCGCGAAAGCGUGGGGAGCAAACAGGAUUAGAUACCCCUGUAAA